AUGUCACUUACCUUUCAAACAAGUAGCAGUUGAGUUUCAGUCGUCAGACUUGGCUGUCUCUGGAUUCAUACGGUUAUUCUGUUCUGGUAACCUGAUCCAGCACAACAGGUCCUCCCAAGGAAGCUCGCUUGCUCUUCUCACCCCAUCGCCUCCGAUGGGACCGAGUCAUUGCAUUCAAAGUGCACACAGUGACACCUCCGAGAGACUUGGGCUGUUCUCUUGUCUCACUUCUGCUCUCUCCCAGGCUGAAUGCACGCCCUGGAGAUGGGGAUCAGGAUAGUGGCUGGAGACCAGGCCACUCCUCUUAGCCAGCUAUUCCUGAUUCUUUUUCUUUGGCCAUGAGUCAGCCUGCUUGGGAGAUGAGCUUCCCCUGGGACUCUCCAGUGCUGCUGAAGAAGCUCAAGGUUUAAGACUUUUGUCUGCACGACAAGCGUGUAAAGCACAGGAAUGCUGUCGCCACGUGUAAGAUACGUACAGCAGGAUGAAGUGGCUUUGAAGUGGCCACCAGUGUGUAAGAGUACAUGGAAUAUUGGUGGUUAACCAGGGGUUCA
This is a long non-coding RNA of Oxyura jamaicensis (ruddy duck), 551 nucleotides long. RefSeq lists it as uncharacterized. The transcript has 3 exons. The record is from RefSeq and is a predicted model, not a curated record. NCBI's taxonomy places the organism in Eukaryota, Metazoa, Chordata, Aves, Anseriformes, Anatidae.